UGGCAUGAUGGUGGGCAUUUGUAGUCCCAAA
This 31-nucleotide non-coding RNA is filed under the name Homo sapiens (human). The record is from RNAcentral. Lineage: Eukaryota; Metazoa; Chordata; Mammalia; Primates; Hominidae.